Molecule: long non-coding RNA, 573 nt
Filed under: Pan troglodytes (chimpanzee)
Lineage: Eukaryota; Metazoa; Chordata; Mammalia; Primates; Hominidae
Description: lincRNA
Source: RNAcentral
GUGCGGGGACCAGAGGGAUGUGGGAUCCUGAGGAUCACUGUGGGGCACGGACGCUCAAUCCUCAGUCCCCAAGGCCGCGGCGGCGAGGCCCGGGUGGAAGGCGGCGGCGAUCCCGGGGAGGACGCGGCCGGAGUGCAGCAGGGCCAUGGUGGACCGUAGGAGGGCAGUGGGCAGCGGCAGGACGGAGCAGAGGGCGAGCGGACACACAGACAGGGAACUGGCUCCUGCUGAAGGUAAUUGUAUGACAAUGGAGAGGUGAUUACUGCGCUGAAAAUCAGUUUCCUGAAGUGAAAAAGGGAAUCAAGUUACGUCGCAGAGCCUGGCGUGAGCGGCGCUCAGUCAACACCAGCUCUUCAUGGGUUGUGGUUUCCUCCAGUUCCUGGAUGUGCGGAGUUCAUCCUCCAUUGACUGGCGCCCCGAUUGACAAUGAGGUCUGGAAAUUGGCAACUGAUGAGGGGAAGUGUAUCAGUCUGUUUUCAUGCUGCUGAUAAAGACAUACCCGAGACUGGGAAGAAAAAGAGGUUUAAUGGACUUACACUUCGACAUGGCUUGGGGAGGCCUCACAAUCAUGGU